UUUUUUUUUUUAACUAUCUGAUCUAUCACUGAAAUCAGUGUGAAACUGGAAUACAUCUUAACUAAUUAGGUCCUGUGAGUACACAUGACUUAUUUGAUAAUUAGCACAUUCCAAGGAGAUGGGUUUACCCUAAUAGAUGUAGUUCUUCCCUUUUUUUUUUUCAAUCACUCAAGUUAGUUUUAGAUGUGAGGUUUCCCAUGUCAUUGUUAAACUCUUUCCAGGAUCUUCAUGGAAAAUAUUAAUCCUGGAAGCAAAUUUCCCUUGGUGCUUCGUGGACUUUACCCAUUUCUCAGAAGAUACCAUAAAAUUGAAAUUUUGAUAUUGUUUAAGUUCAUGUUUUUGUUAGUAUCAUCGCUAUUCACAAGGUGUCUGUUGAACAUGAUCAUUUUAUGGCGCUAAGAUUCUAUAGUUGUAGAAGUCUUUUAGGUCUAAUUUGAGCAGCUAUUUGUGUUGCUGUUAUUUUAAAUUACACUGUAAGUUCUAUUAUCUAGCAUGACAAAUUAUUGGGCUUGCAGCCAUGAGGUACAUGUCCAAGGCCUAAGAGCAAGUCUUCAUGUAAAUGCUGGAAGGAUGAAAAUUCAUCAUUUUCAGAGUCCUGCUUAUGUUGCAGGACAAAUAAUUGGAUCAGUUGAGGGCUUCUAAAUUGUAAUUAAUCAAUAGAUUGGAACAGGCGUUAGAAAGAACAUAUCCAAGCAAAUACUAAAAAGUCCUCAUAUGUUAUUAUUGUGUCUUACAUUUUGAUGUAGUAUUUGUACCUCGAUUAUCAUUUCCCUUAAUUUUGUUAAAAUGACAGCUUGUAAUUCUUUCACCAUCAUAUAUUUGUUGCAGACUAACCUCUACACUGAAG
This 847-nucleotide unclassified non-coding RNA is filed under the name Hevea brasiliensis (rubber tree). Lineage: Eukaryota; Viridiplantae; Streptophyta; Magnoliopsida; Malpighiales; Euphorbiaceae. The record is from RNAcentral.